Molecule: ribosomal RNA, 254 nt
Filed under: uncultured bacterium
Lineage: Bacteria
Description: partial 16S ribosomal RNA
Rfam family: Bacterial small subunit ribosomal RNA
Source: RNAcentral
CGGCGAAGCCGCGAGGUGGAGCGAAUCCCAAAAAGCCGGUCUAAGUUCGGAUUGCAGGCUGCAACCCGCCUGCAUGGAGUCGGAAUCGCUAGUAAUCGCGAGUCAGCAUAUCGCGGUGAAUACGUUCCCGGGUCUUGUACACACCGCCCGUCACACCAUGGGAGUUGGCAACACCCGAAGUCGAUGAGCUAACCGCAAGGAGGCAGUCGCCUAAGGUGGGGUUGAUAACUGGGGUGAAGUCGUAACAAGGUAUC